RNAcentral lists this ribosomal RNA (688 nucleotides) under Paenibacillus sp. ZD41. Its description in RNAcentral is "bacterial SSU rRNA". It matches the Rfam family "Bacterial small subunit ribosomal RNA", at positions 66 to 738 of the family's 1533-position model. Lineage: Bacteria; Bacillati; Bacillota; Bacilli; Caryophanales; Paenibacillaceae. The record is from RNAcentral.
CCAGGGUGCUCCCUUACGGGAGAGCCCCUGGAGCGGCGGACGGGUGAGUAACACGUAGGCAACCUGCCUGUAAGAUCGGGAUAACUACCGGAAACGGUAGCUAAGACCGGAUAGCUGGUCUCUCCGCAUGGAGAGAUCAUGAAACACGGGGCAACCUGUGGCUUACAGAUGGGCCUGCGGCGCAUUAGCUAGUUGGUGGGGUAACGGCCCACCAAGGCGACGAUGCGUAGCCGACCUGAGAGGGUGAUCGGCCACACUGGGACUGAGACACGGCCCAGACUCCUACGGGAGGCAGCAGUAGGGAAUCUUCCGCAAUGGGCGCAAGCCUGACGGAGCAACGCCGCGUGAGUGAUGAAGGUUUUCGGAUCGUAAAGCUCUGUUGCCAAGGAAGAACGCCUCGGAGAGUAACUGCUCUGAGGGUGACGGUACUUGAGAAGAAAGCCCCGGCUAACUACGUGCCAGCAGCCGCGGUAAUACGUAGGGGGCAAGCGUUGUCCGGAAUUAUUGGGCGUAAAGCGCGCGCAGGCGGUCUUUUAAGUUUGGUGUUUAAGCCCGGGGCUCAACCCCGGUUCGCACUGAAAACUGGGAGACUUGAGUGCAGGAGAGGAAAGCGGAAUUCCACGUGUAGCGGUGAAAUGCGUAGAGAUGUGGAGGAACACCAGUGGCGAAGGCGGCUUUCUGGACUGUA